AACGUACGCUGGCGGCACGCCUAAUACAUGCAAGUCGAACGGGGUAGCAAUACCUAGUGGCAGACGGGUGAGUAACAUGUGGGUACCUUCCCUUUGGUGAGGAAUAACACGAGGAAACUUGUGCUAAUACCUCAUAAGUCUUUACGGAGAAAGCUUUAUGCGCCAAUGGAUGGGCCCGCACUUGAUUAGUUAGUUGGUGAGGUAAUGGCUUACCAAGACUUUGAUCAAUAGCUGAUUUGAGAGGAUGAUCAGCCACAUUGGGACUGAGACACGGCCCAAACUCCUACGGGAGGCAGCAGUAGGGAAUCUUGCACAAUGGAGGAAACUCUGAUGCAGCGAUGCCGCGUGAGUGAAGAAGGCCUUUGGGUUGUAAAGCUCUUUCGUCGGGGAAGAAAAUGACUGUACCCGAAUAAGAAGGUCCGGCUAACUUCGUGCCAGCCGCCGCAGUAA
This 450-nucleotide ribosomal RNA is filed under the name uncultured bacterium. RNAcentral's name for it is "bacterial SSU rRNA". It matches the Rfam family "Bacterial small subunit ribosomal RNA", at positions 29 to 523 of the family's 1533-position model. The record is from RNAcentral.